GAUGAAGAACGUAGCGAAAUGCGAUAAGUAAUGUGAAUUGCAGAAUUCAGUGAAUCAUCGAAUCUUUGAACGCACAUUGCGCCCGCCAGUAUUCUGGCGGGCAUGCCUGUCCGAGCGUCAUUUCAACCCUCGAACCCCUCCGGGGGGUCGGCGUUGGGGACCUCGGGAGCCCCUAAGACGGGAUCCCGGCCCCGAAAUACAGUGGCGGUCUCGCCGCAGCCUCUCCUGCGCAGUAGUUUGCACAACUCGCACCGGGAGCGCGGCGCGUCCACGUCCGUAAAACACCCAACUUCUGAAAUGUUGACCUCGGAUCAGGUAGGGUUACCCGCUGAACUUAAGCAUAUCAAUAAGCGGAGGA
Molecule: unclassified non-coding RNA, 358 nt
Filed under: soil metagenome
Description: partial contains 5.8S ribosomal RNA, internal transcribed spacer 2, and large subunit ribosomal RNA
Rfam family: 5.8S ribosomal RNA (bases 1-120)
Source: RNAcentral